Non-coding RNA from Coffea arabica (coffee), 1004 nucleotides. The record is from RefSeq and is a predicted model, not a curated record. Lineage: Eukaryota; Viridiplantae; Streptophyta; Magnoliopsida; Gentianales; Rubiaceae.
UUACCUUAAAAAAGGAUAUCCACUGGUAUUUGGUCUACCGCUUCGCACUUCCCCUGUGGCCAGUCUCGAUUCAGGCAUCUACAAUCAAAGUCUAGCAAAAUAAGGUGCAAUUUUGCUAUUCAGGAGUUUAAGUUUUGUGGCUUUGCCACUGAUAGCUUUUUAGAUUUAGUUUAGUUGCUAUGUAGGUUUUGAGACACAAUAUUCAGUAGACUAAUAGACGUACAUGCUGGUUUUUUCCUUUUCUGUGGAUAAUUGUGUGUCCAGUGAUAGAUUACUUUGCAUAUGAAUGGAAUUUCCAUAUUUUUUUUUAUUUAUUUUUUUGCAGCUGCAUAGUGGGCAAAUUUGCCCUUUAUCUAGUUGUCACACAUGUAUCACUGUUGUUGCUUCAAUCUCCCUUGUCCAAACAGAAAUUAUCAGAUAUUAAGCAAAGAGAUGCAGCUAUCAUCUUGGUUGAUAAGAACAUGAUUAUGAGAAACAAGCAAGGGGAGGCUUUCGAAAAUCGAUGAUGGUUACUCUAAAGGUCCUGAAGAUUUAGGGAAACAUAAUGGAAAAGGGAAAAACUAAUAUGCCACUUGUGACUUAUUAGUAUUAUCACUACCCCUCUUUUAUAUGUGCUUUUUUGCUUUUUUUUCCCCAUUCCAUAUGUGCUUUCUUUAUUUACUAAAUGCUUCUUUCUUUUCUCUGUAGGUACCAAAAGCUAGUUGCUGUCUCUAAUGGUUAAAUAUCCUUAAAGUGAGCUUGGUGGGACUUUGGUCAGAAAAAUUAAGCAGAUGAUGGUACAGACAUUCUCUUAGCUAUCAUCUUAGAUCUCCUUAAUUUCCUCUGCAUAAAUGGGUGCAAGGUCUGAGCUAUCAAUCUGCUUCUUCAUCAGUUGUUAUUGACCUGGAAUGAGCUAGAUGUUUGUGGUAUUAUCAAAUUGUUAUGACUCCCCUGUCGUGGAGAUGAAGAUUUGCCAUGGGCUACUUUCGCACAAUUUAUUGAGGCAUAUUUAGAGUGCUCUUCCU